GGGUCGUUAGCUCAGUCGGUAGAGCAGUUGGCUUUUAACCAAUUGGUCGUAUAGGUUCGAAUCCUACACGACCCACCA
RNAcentral lists this transfer RNA (78 nucleotides) under Pseudomonas aeruginosa. RNAcentral describes it as "tRNA-Lys". It matches the Rfam family "tRNA". Rfam says of the family: Transfer RNA (tRNA) molecules are approximately 80 nucleotides in length. Their secondary structure includes four short double-helical elements and three loops (D, anti-codon, and T loops). Lineage: Bacteria; Pseudomonadati; Pseudomonadota; Gammaproteobacteria; Pseudomonadales; Pseudomonadaceae. The record is from RNAcentral.